Non-coding RNA from Paramuricea clavata, 810 nucleotides. NCBI's taxonomy places the organism in Eukaryota, Metazoa, Cnidaria, Anthozoa, Malacalcyonacea, Plexauridae. The record is from the annotation of a GenBank genome assembly.
CAAGUUGUUAACAACUUGUGACAAGUUUGUUAUCAGACUUGUUGCAAGGUUGUUCCAUCCAGUCAUGAUAUAAUAAUAUUGUUACAACUUUGUAAGAACAACCUUGUAACAAGUCUGUAAUGCCAUCAACUCAUCAAGCUUGUUACAAGUUGUUAACAGCUUGUUUCAAACUUGGGACAACAACUGGGAACAAGCAGUGCGAACACAACUUGUCGACAGCUUCUGAACAUAUUUGUAACAACUUGUUUGCAGACUUGUAACAAUUUGUGCGUUUUUACGUGUGUACACAGGUAAAAACGCACAAAUUGUAACAAACCUGCAGCAGACUUGUAGCAACGCUGUUCCAACAACUUGUCAACAGGAUGCGAACACAUCUUGUUCACAACUUGCGAGAUUUUUACGUGUGUAGAUAACUGCAUACUACACACGUAAAAACACACAAAUUGUUACAGAUCUGCAAACAAGUUGUAACAAGGUUGUUGUGAAGCCGGUAUCAGGAUGUGUUCGCACUGCUUGUUCCCAGUUGUUGUGACAAGUCUGGAACAAGUUGUUAUCACCUUGUUACAAGGUUGAUGACGGUAACAGACUUGCUUGCAUGUUGUUCCAACAAGACUACGCACGUAAAAAUCUCACAUCUUGUAGCAAGUCUGCUAACAAGCCGUCAACAAGUUGUGUUCGCACUGCUUGUCACAAAUUGUCAACAAGUUUGGAACAAGCUGUUAACUAGAAAUACAUGCAUGCAAUAACCCCUCGCCUGUUUUCAAAAGAUGUAUACUCAGUGCCGUUGUGUGCACUUCGUCUCAGGGUGUG